CUCUAUUGUCUCUUUCUGCAUCAUUAUUGGCAGUAUGUUUUGAGGAAGAAUAAAUUCUUUCAAACAAUUGUGUGAACCUUUCACUUUGAGAGAGAUAAAAUACAAUAGAAAAGUGACAUAUAUUUUUGAAAUGCUUGUGCAAAGGCACUGGUCAGGUCUUAAUAAUAUUUGAAUCUCAUUUAAAAGUGACAUAUAUUUUUGUAAAUUAGAUUUUUCGUUCCUUUCUUUAUUUUGUUUCCCCCUGGUAUAUUUUUUUUCAGGCAUUCAGGAGUUUAAUAAAAUAUUUGUAAUGUCAAUUUUGAAUGGAAAGGCUGGUAUCAGCCUAUCACUUCCAUUGCCCCUAAGUUUUUUAUGAACAAUAGCUUGGAUAACAGGCGGCAAACUCUGAAUCUUGUACUCUUUUCUUAAUGUGCUGCUUUGGUUUCAUUGUGCGAAAAAAGAAUGGCAAGACAAAGCUUUUUGUUGGUGUUUUAAACAGAAGUAGAAAUCAUGUGCUGGAAAGCAAGUAAACAUCGACACUGGAAGCUCUCACUGCCAAAGGAUUGUUCAGUUUUAUUAUAUCGGUUUACUGAUAAGCUGAUAUGGCCUCAUACAACUCCUAAACAUGGUAUGCACAAGCCUAUCAUGCACAUUUGGAUCAGAGUAACUGUAGGAGAGUACCGAGGCAAGUGUGUCCAGUUGUGGAGGGAUAGCUGGUGUUGCUGACAGUUAAGCAACACUGGCAAAGACGGUGCAGAUGGAGUGGUUUUGCCUAAAUCAUGUUCUGGCAGGAAGAUUUUGAAGGUGUUGCAGUUCUGCCAUAUGCAGCUGAGUAGCUGCUAGAAGCCUAGCUGUUUGUUUGCAUCAUUCAUCUCUUAUAACAUUAAAGAAAUUUUCACUUGAUUGUUCCUUUGCAACUUAUAUGAUGUGAUCCAUUUCACAGUUGAUUUCAAUGCUUAAUUGUUGAUAACGUGGCAAC
Quercus lobata is the source of this 958-nucleotide long non-coding RNA. RefSeq lists it as uncharacterized. The transcript is spliced from 3 exons. NCBI's taxonomy places the organism in Eukaryota, Viridiplantae, Streptophyta, Magnoliopsida, Fagales, Fagaceae. The record is from RefSeq and is a predicted model, not a curated record.